AUGCCUCCAUUUGGCGCAGCACAUAUACUAAAAUUGGAACGAUACAGAGAUUAGCAAGGCCCCUGCACAAAUUAACUAUUUUAUGAUAAUUAUCUCCUGACUUGU
Onychomys torridus (southern grasshopper mouse) is the source of this 105-nucleotide small nuclear RNA. Lineage: Eukaryota; Metazoa; Chordata; Mammalia; Rodentia; Cricetidae. The record is from RefSeq and is a predicted model, not a curated record.